Molecule: ribosomal RNA, 465 nt
Filed under: Vreelandella stevensii
Lineage: Bacteria; Pseudomonadati; Pseudomonadota; Gammaproteobacteria; Oceanospirillales; Halomonadaceae
Description: partial 16S ribosomal RNA
Rfam family: Bacterial small subunit ribosomal RNA
Source: RNAcentral
CCUACGGGAGGCAGCAGUGGGGAAUAUUGGACAAUGGGGGGAACCCUGAUCCAGCCAUGCCGCGUGUGUGAAGAAGGCCCUCGGGUUGUAAAGCACUUUCAGUGAGGAAGAACGCCUGGUGGUUAAUACCCAUCAGGAAAGACAUCACUCACAGAAGAAGCACCGGCUAACUCCGUGCCAGCAGCCGCGGUAAUACGGAGGGUGCGAGCGGUAAUCGGAAUUACUGGGCGUAAAGCGCGCGUAGGUGGCUUGAUAAGCCGGUUGUGAAAGCCCCGGGCUCAACCUGGGAACGGCAUCCGGAACUGUCAAGCUAGAGUGCAGGAGAGGAAGGUAGAAUUCCCGGUGUAGCGGUGAAAUGCGUAGAGAUCGGGAGGAAUACCAGUGGCGAAGGCGGCCUUCUGGACUGACACUGACACUGAGGUGCGAAAGCGUGGGUAGCAAACAGGAUUAGAUACCCUAGUAGUC